RNAcentral lists this ribosomal RNA (496 nucleotides) under uncultured bacterium. RNAcentral describes it as "partial 16S ribosomal RNA". It matches the Rfam family "Bacterial small subunit ribosomal RNA", at positions 28 to 507 of the family's 1533-position model. The record is from RNAcentral.
GAUGAACGCUGGCGGCGUGCCUAAUACAUGCAAGUCGAGCGAACAGACGAGGAGCUUGCUCCUCUGACGUUAGCGGCGGACGGGUGAGUAACACGUGGAUAACCUACCUAUAAGACUGGGAUAACUUCGGGAAACCGGAGCUAAUACCGGAUAAUAUAUUGAACCGUAUGGUUCAAUAGUGAAAGACGGUUUUGCUGUCACUUAUAGAUGGAUCCGCGCCGCAUUAGCUAGUUGGUAAGGUAACGGCUUACCAAGGCAACGAUGCGUAGCCGACCUGAGAGGGUGAUCGGCCACACUGGAACUGAGACACGGUCCAGACUCCUACGGGAGGCAGCAGUAGGGAAUCUUCCGCAAUGGGCGAAAGCCUGACGGAGCAAGCCGCGUGAGUGAUGAAGGUCUUCGGAUCGUAAAACUCUGUUAUUAGGGAAGAACAAAUGUGUAAGUAACUAUGCACGUCUUGACGGUACCUAAUCAGAAAGCCACGGCUAACUACGUG